GGAAAAGGUACUGGGAGCAUUAAGUGAGCAGUGUGUCCCUUCUCCAUUUCUCUAGAACAACAUUUUACUAUCAAGAAUCAGACACAGAAUUAAGCCACUAAACCUGCCAUCUAAUAUGAGUAGAAAGGCAAGCUCAGUAUCAAUCAUUUCCUCAUUGUUCUUAUUUAGAAAUGAUUUUAGAUGGUCUUAAGAUGAAAACAAGAAGAAUGCCAAAGGAAUAUCUUUAAACACUCUUACCAUUAUAAUAUAUACAAUAUAACAGAAAGUCCUUAAAUAUAGGCUUAAAAAUAUAUUCUGGGGGAGUUUUUUUAAAA
This 314-nucleotide long non-coding RNA is filed under the name Bos taurus (domestic cattle). RNAcentral describes it as "long non-coding RNA NONBTAT017057". The record is from RNAcentral. Lineage: Eukaryota; Metazoa; Chordata; Mammalia; Artiodactyla; Bovidae.